Molecule: long non-coding RNA, 504 nt
Organism: Clupea harengus (Atlantic herring)
Lineage: Eukaryota; Metazoa; Chordata; Actinopteri; Clupeiformes; Clupeidae
Exons: 3
Source: RefSeq, a predicted model, not a curated record
UGUGUGUGCGGAGCUCCCUCCAUCAGCGUCUGGUCCAGUGGGCUGGUUAUGAUGCUGGUCUGGAGCUGGUGACUGCACACACACUCGAGACCACACACACCCUGCAGCUCUGCCAGAGCCCGCCCCUCUCACUGCACAACCUACAGGCCAACGCUGAUAGGCUACAGCUCCUACAGAAUGCAAAUGAGGAGAUAGACCAAAAGUGGGAGGAGCUUGGCCAGACUCUCUCCGCCCUCAUGGGCCUGAUUGAUGCAGACUCCGCCCAUAUCCUGACAGAGCAGCUGGAGAUGGAGAGAACACAGUGGUGUGAAGUGAAGCAGAGGCUCUCAGCUGAUCUCCAGAGGUGUGUGUGUGUGGUGGAGGAGUGGCGUCGGUACGUGGGUGUGUGUGUUCCCUGCUCCGAGCGCCUGCAGCUGUACCGAGACCAGCUGAGCGCUCUCACACACCCCCUCCACCCCCCCUCAGACCACACACCACAGGACCUCACACACCACAUUCACACCA